ACCGCGCCUCCGCCCAAUGAAAGGCUCGGGGCGGGGCGGAGGACGGCAAGGGAGGGGAUCCGGGCUGGGCAGAGGAGAAGGCGGUGUUGCUGAGCACAGAGUGAUGGCGGCGCCGCCCAAUAGACGCGUUGGUGGAGGGGUCUGCGCCCCCUUACACCGGGGUGCACAGGAAGCCACCCCAGAGGGAUCCUACAAAAACCAAGAAAACGUAUAGCUACUCUUCUAAAUCUCAGUGCCCAGCAUUGCCUACGUUUCUGCCUCCCCCAGCAACAACAAAAAAAAAACGGUUCUCCUUGACCUGAGGAAAAUUCCAUCCAGGUCUGUGAGCUGCAAUAGAUCAUCCUGAAGAAUCAAGAAUCAUCAUCACCUGAGACUGCCAAGACGAAUCCCAACAUCAAAACAACACUUGAGGGCUUCCCUGGUGACGCAGUGGUUGAGGGUCCGCCUGCCUGAUGCAGGGGAUACAGGUUCGUGCCCCGGUCCGGGAAGAUCCUACAGGCCGCGGAGUGGCUAGGCCCGUGAGCCAUGGCCACUGAGCCUGCGCGUCCGGAGCCUGUGCCCCGCAACGGGAGAGGCCACAACAGUGAGAGGCCCGCGUACCGCAAAAAAAAAAACCAAAAAACAAAAAAGCACUUGAAGCUUGUGUACCUUUUCUUUCUUUACUGUGUAUAGUGUCUUUUAUCUUUUUAAAAUUUAUUUAUUUAUUUAUUUAUUUUUGGCUCCGUUGGGUCUUCGUUGCUGCACGCGGGCUUUCUCUAGUUGCGGCAAGCGGGGUCUACUCUUCGUCGCAGUGCACGGGCUUCUCAGUGCGGUGGCUUCUCUUGUUGCAGAGCACGGGCUCUAGGUGCGCGGGCUUCAGGAGUUGUGGCUCGCGGGCUCUAGAGCGCAGGCUCAGUAGUUGUGGCACACGGGCUUAGUUGCUCCACGGCAUAUGGGAUCUUCCCAGAGCGGGGCUCGAACCCGUGUCCCCUGCAUUAGCAGGUGGAUUCUUAACAAUUGCACCACCAGGGAAGCCCAGAAAAUAAAUUUUUUAAGAGAAAAAUGUA
Long non-coding RNA from Orcinus orca (killer whale), 1046 nucleotides. RefSeq lists it as uncharacterized. The transcript has 2 exons. NCBI's taxonomy places the organism in Eukaryota, Metazoa, Chordata, Mammalia, Artiodactyla, Delphinidae. The record is from RefSeq and is a predicted model, not a curated record.